RNAcentral lists this ribosomal RNA (224 nucleotides) under Leptospira noguchii. Its description in RNAcentral is "partial 16S ribosomal RNA". It matches the Rfam family "Bacterial small subunit ribosomal RNA", at positions 50 to 285 of the family's 1533-position model. Lineage: Bacteria; Pseudomonadati; Spirochaetota; Leptospiria; Leptospirales; Leptospiraceae. The record is from RNAcentral.
UAAACAUGCAAGUCAAGCGGAGUAGCAAUACUCAGCGGCGAACGGGUGAGUAACACGUGGGUAAUCUUCCUUCGAGUCUGGGAUAACUUUCCGAAAGGGAAGCUAAUACUGGAUAGUCCCGAGAGAUCAUAAGAUUUUUCGGGUAAAGAUUCAUUGCUCGGAGAUGAGCCCGCGUCCGAUUAGCUAGUUGGUAAGGUAAAGGCUUACCAAGGCGACGAUCGGUA